This 1068-nucleotide ribosomal RNA is filed under the name Salmonella enterica subsp. enterica serovar Cerro. RNAcentral's name for it is "partial 23S ribosomal RNA". It matches the Rfam family "Bacterial large subunit ribosomal RNA", at positions 1292 to 2343 of the family's 2925-position model. The record is from RNAcentral. Lineage: Bacteria; Pseudomonadati; Pseudomonadota; Gammaproteobacteria; Enterobacterales; Enterobacteriaceae.
GAAUGCUGACAUAAGUAACGAUAAAGCGGGUGAAAAGCCCGCUCGCCGGAAGACCAAGGGUUCCUGUCCAACGUUAAUCGGGGCAGGGUGAGUCGACCCCUAAGGCGAGGCCGAAAGGCGUAGUCGAUGGGAAACGGGUUAAUAUUCCCGUACUUGGUGUUACUGCGAAGGGGGGACGGAGAAGGCUAUGUUGGCCGGGCGACGGUUGUCCCGGUUUAAGCGUGUAGGUGUGUGUUCCAGGUAAAUCCGGUUCACUUUAACACUGAGGCGUGACGACGAGGCACUACGGUGCUGAAGCAACAAAUGCCCUGCUUCCAGGAAAAGCCUCUAAGCAUCAGGUAACAUCAAAUCGUACCCCAAACCGACACAGGUGGUCAGGUAGAGAAUACCAAGGCGCUUGAGAGAACUCGGGUGAAGGAACUAGGCAAAAUGGUGCCGUAACUUCGGGAGAAGGCACGCUGACACGUAGGUGAAGUGAUUUACUCAUGGAGCUGAAGUCAGUCGAAGAUACCAGCUGGCUGCAACUGUUUAUUAAAAACACAGCACUGUGCAAACACGAAAGUGGACGUAUACGGUGUGACGCCUGCCCGGUGCCGGAAGGUUAAUUGAUGGGGUCAGCGCAAGCGAAGCUCCUGAUCGAAGCCCCGGUAAACGGCGGCCGUAACUAUAACGGUCCUAAGGUAGCGAAAUUCCUUGUCGGGUAAGUUCCGACCUGCACGAAUGGCGUAAUGAUGGCCAGGCUGUCUCCACCCGAGACUCAGUGAAAUUGAACUCGCUGUGAAGAUGCAGUGUACCCGCGGCAAGACGGAAAGACCCCGUGAACCUUUACUAUAGCUUGACACUGAACAUUGAGCCUUGAUGUGUAGGAUAGGUGGGAGGCUUUGAAGUGUGGACGCCAGUCUGCAUGGAGCCGACCUUGAAAUACCACCCUUUAAUGUUUGAUGUUCUAACGUGGACCCGUGAUCCGGGUUGCGGACAGUGUCUGGUGGGUAGUUUGACUGGGGCGGUCUCCUCCUAAAGAGUAACGGAGGAGCACGAAGGUUGGCUAAUCCUGGUCGGACAUCAGGA